AUUGAACGCUGGCGGCAGGCCUAACACAUGCAAGUCGAACGGUAACAGGAAGCAGCUUGCUGCUUUGCUGACGAGUGGCGGACGGGUGAGUAAUGUCUGGGAAACUGCCCGAUGGAGGGGGAUAACUACUGGAAACGGUAGCUAAUACCGCAUAACGUCGCAAGACCAAAGAGGGGGACCUUAGGGCCUCUUGCCAUCGGCUGUGCCCAGAUGGGAUUCGCUAGUAGGUGGGGUAACGGCUCACCAAGGCAACGAUCCCUAGCUGGUCUGAGAGGAUGACCAGCCACACUGGAACUGAGACACGGUCCAGACUCCUACGGGAGGCAGCAGUGGGGAAUAUUGCACAAUGGGCGCAAGCCUGAUGCAGCCAUGCCGCGUGUAUGAAGAAGGCCUUCGGGUUGUAAAGUACUUUCAGCGGGGAGGAAGGGAGUAAAGUUAAUACCUUGGCUCAUUGACGUUACCCGCAGAAGAAGCACCGGCUAACUCCGUG
RNAcentral lists this ribosomal RNA (490 nucleotides) under uncultured bacterium. RNAcentral describes it as "partial 16S ribosomal RNA". It matches the Rfam family "Bacterial small subunit ribosomal RNA", at positions 30 to 507 of the family's 1533-position model. The record is from RNAcentral.